GCUGCUUGGCGCCUUCUGGGAAGGCUGGCGGAGAAGAUGGCCUCGCUGGGAAGGAGAACUGCGCGUAGCGGUUAAUAACGCGCAAGAUGGGCGCCGGGCUUCCCAGCCUGACUUCUGGGUCUUUCCGCCCGGCUGCCGGGGCGGGGAAUGGUCGUUCCCACUCGGUUAAACCGAGCUCAGCGGUAGCGGUGCCAGCCAGUGUCCUCAACCGCCAGUGAGAGAAAAGUCUCACGCCUUCACGCAGGCCUCUGCCCCCGCCUCGCAUGGUGGGACAGGACUUCCCACCGGGACCGCGAGGGCUGUUUCCCAUGCUUUUCGUGGCUAAACAGUGAGAGGGUGGCCUGGCAUCGCAGCCUGGUCCAUCGCUUGUGCUGAGCUGCAAAACAGUUGGGCUCUUCGGGGCCGAGAGCAAAAGUUGCAGUACCAAUGCGAUGCUUUGGCUGGCACGUCCAUUAGGCUGAGUAUCACUUCUGCAAACGAGUCGGCACAGGAAGGACUAUGGACUUUGUAGCAGGUCGAGGCUGUGAGACAGAUGAGUGAUUUCAGCCCACCUAUCCAUUUAUUUUUUUUGCUACUGCUGUUUG
Egretta garzetta (little egret) is the source of this 584-nucleotide long non-coding RNA. RefSeq lists it as uncharacterized. The transcript is spliced from 4 exons. The record is from RefSeq and is a predicted model, not a curated record. Lineage: Eukaryota; Metazoa; Chordata; Aves; Pelecaniformes; Ardeidae.